GACGAACGCUGGCGGCGUGCUUAACACAUGCAAGUCGAACGGAAAGGCCCGGCUUUUGUGGGGUGCUCGAGUGGCGAACGGGGGAGUAACACGUGAGUAACCUGCCCUUGACUUUGGGAUAACUUCAGGAAACUGGGGCUAAUACCGGAUAGGAGCUCCUGCUGCAGGGUGGGGGUGGGAAAGUUUCGGCGGUUGGGGAUGGACUCGCGGCUUAUCAGCUUGUUGGUGGGGUAGUGGCUUACCAAGGCUUUGACGGGUAGCCGGCCUGAGAGGGUGACCGGCCACAUUGGGACUGAGAUACGGCCCAGACUCCUACGGGAGGCAGCAGUGGGGAAUAUUGCACAAUGGGCGGAAGCCUGAUGCAGCAACGCCGCGUGCGGGAUGACGGCCUUCGGGUUGUAAACCGCUUUCGCCUGUGACGAAGCGUGAGUGACGGUAAUGGGUAAAGAAGCACCGGCUAACUACGUG
This 468-nucleotide ribosomal RNA is filed under the name uncultured bacterium. RNAcentral's name for it is "partial 16S ribosomal RNA". It matches the Rfam family "Bacterial small subunit ribosomal RNA", at positions 28 to 507 of the family's 1533-position model. The record is from RNAcentral.